AGUGAACGCUGGCGGUAGGCCUAACACAUGCAAGUCGAAUGGCAGCACAGUAAGAGCUUGCUCUUACGGGUGGCGAGUGGCGGACGGGUGAGGAAUACAUCGGAAUCUACUUUUUCGUGGGGGAUAACGUAGGGAAACUUACGCUAAUACCGCAUACGACCUACGGGUGAAAGCAGGGGGUCUUCGGACCUUGCGCGAUUGAAUGAGCCGAUGUCGGAUUAGCCAGUUGGCGGGGUAAAGGCCCACCAAGGCGACGAUCCGUAGCUGGUCUGAGAGGAUGAUCAGCCACACUGGAACUGAGACACGGUCCAGACUCCUACGGGAGGCAGCAGUGGGGAAUAUUGGACAAUGGGCGCAAGCCUGAUCCAGCCAUACCGCGUGGGUGAAGAAGGCCUUCGGGUUGUAAAGCCCUUUUGUUGGGAAAGAAAAGCAGCAGGUUAAUACCCCGCUGUUCUGACGGUACCCAAAGAAUAAGCACCGGCUAACUUCGUG
RNAcentral lists this ribosomal RNA (492 nucleotides) under uncultured bacterium. Its description in RNAcentral is "partial 16S ribosomal RNA". It matches the Rfam family "Bacterial small subunit ribosomal RNA", at positions 29 to 507 of the family's 1533-position model. The record is from RNAcentral.